Molecule: ribosomal RNA, 440 nt
Filed under: uncultured bacterium
Lineage: Bacteria
Description: partial 16S ribosomal RNA
Rfam family: Bacterial small subunit ribosomal RNA
Source: RNAcentral
CCUACGGGUGGCAGCAGUAAGGAAUAUUGCUCAAUGGAGGAAACCCUGAAGCAGCAACGCAGCGUGCAGGAUGAAGGUUUUCGGAUUUUAAACUCCUUUUGUUAGAGAAGAUAAUGACGGUAUCUAACGAAUAAGCACCGGCUAACUCCGUGCCAGCAGCCGCGGUAAUACGGAGGGUGCAAGCGGUACUCGGAAUUACUGGGCUGAACGGGCGCGUAGGCGGGAUAGCAAGUCAGAUGUGAAAUCCUAUGGCUUAACCAUAGAAUUGCAUUUGAAACUGUUAUCCUAGAGUAUGGGAGAGGGAGGUGGAAUUCUUGGUGUAGGGGUAAAAUCCGUAGAGAUCAAGAGGAAUACUCAUUGCGAAGGCGACCUGCUAGAACAUAACUGACGCUGAUGCGCGAAAGCGUGGGGAGCAAACAGGAUUAGAUACCCUGGUAGUC